This 443-nucleotide ribosomal RNA is filed under the name uncultured bacterium. RNAcentral's name for it is "partial 16S ribosomal RNA". It matches the Rfam family "Bacterial small subunit ribosomal RNA", at positions 338 to 795 of the family's 1533-position model. The record is from RNAcentral.
CCUACGGGAGGCAGCAGUGGGGAAUAUUGGGCAAUGGGCGCAAGCCUGACCCAGCAACGCCGCGUGACGGAAGAAGGCUUUCGGGUUGUAAACUUCUUUUCUGAGGGACGAAGAAAGUGACGGUACCUCAGGAAUAAGCCACGGCUAACUACGUGCCAGCAGCCGCGGUAAUACGUAGGUGGCAAGCGUUAUCCGGAUUUAUUGGGGGUAAAGGGCGUGUAGGAGGGAAAGCAAGUCAGAUGUGAAAACCCAGGGAUCAACCCUGAGCCUGCAUUUGAAACUGUUUUUCUUGAGUGCGGGAGAGGCAAUCGGAAUUCGGGGUGUAGCGGUGAAAUGCGUAGAUAUACGGAGGAACACCAGUGGCGAAGGCGGAUUGCUGGACAGUAACUGACGCUGAGGCGCGAAAGCGUGGGGAGCAAACAGGAUUAGAUACCCCAGUAGUC